AUUGAAACCCCUGUUCCCAUAUGAUCACUGAAGUUAAGCAAUGUUAAGCCUGGUCAGUACCGAGAUUAGUGACCGCUUGGAAAUACCAGGUGCUA
Non-coding RNA from Acanthosepion pharaonis, 95 nucleotides. The record is from the annotation of a GenBank genome assembly. Lineage: Eukaryota; Metazoa; Mollusca; Cephalopoda; Sepiida; Sepiidae.